This 3719-nucleotide long non-coding RNA is filed under the name Solanum tuberosum (potato). RNAcentral's name for it is "long non-coding RNA (STUB_LNC002188)". The record is from RNAcentral. Lineage: Eukaryota; Viridiplantae; Streptophyta; Magnoliopsida; Solanales; Solanaceae.
UUGAAUCAGUGGUAUAUAUUUCACUCUGAUCCGGCGCCAGAAACCGGAAAGUAGGGGCCUUUUUAGCCAAUUCUGUUUGAUAGUCAUACAUCCUGUUGAAGUAUAAGAGCUGAUGGAACACAGUCCCCUCCACUGGUGCAUAUUUGGGGUUUCUGAUUGACUUGCCAGCAUAGAUCCUUACUAUUAAAACUAAUAUAGGAGUCACACAAAUGAACAAGAGAAUAGCUAUAGAGGUGAACAUUGUAUAGAGAAUAUCCAUUUCUUUUUCCAGAAAUGUUGUAUAUUUGGAGAUAUGACCACCAUCUCUAGGUACUAUUUAACACACAAAUAGCAAAGUCAAAUCAAGAAAAUUGUUCACAAAUCAUAUAGAAAAUGAACUGACAGAAACUUGCAGAAUAAACAAUAGAACAUGUCACUGUUCUCUUGGAGUAUGAUUUAAUUAGACAUUUAUACUAAUAUAGGUUGGGCCCUCUGUGGAUUUGAAUAUAGAUAUGGCGCUUCAUCAUCAGUCACACAGAUAUCUAAGGUUUAUCUAGUGUGCAACUUACCCUGCUGUUUUUGCAUGUGUGUCCUCACACCAGCAAUCACCAUCCUUAAUUUCUAUGCUUAUAUGAGCACUAAUUUAACUUGCACAGUUAUCCCAACAAGAUUGAACAUAAUGUUGGGAUUGAAAUAACAACAGACGUUGUGAAAACUAACAAUUGCAAACGUUUAAGGGCGAUAAAUAGAACAAUAAAAGUAAAAUUCUACAAGGGGCGUAAAAAGUUAUUUAUUUUGGUCCAUGGAAACUAAUAUUACCCUCUAUCCAUAAUAUUUACCUAGAUUAUAUAUAAGUAUUUUAUGACAAUAUAUUGUAUUUACUACCAAACAUACAAAAAUCACUUGUUUUCUCGAAAAAUACAUUUAUAUAGGAGCAAUAUUUUUCUUUCUAACCUGAGGAUAAAGGGGUUCUCUGGUAGCUGGAAGUUUGUUAUGAUUUCAACUCCUUUUUAGUUUGUUAUUCAAGUUCACCAAAAAAGCCAGGUUACGAAUAUGGAAUUCUGAGUGCAACAUCUCACUAAUAUGAAGUCAUUCCUUACUUUUAAGACGAAAUCAAGAACAUGAUGGAAUAUUAGCAUCCACUUUCUUGUCACAAAGUUGAACUUAUAGUUCAUAUGAUGGAAUGGAAAGUAAUUACAUCUGUAGAUUAGCUUUAAAGAUGACUUAUAUAGAUUGAAAUUUGAAAGUGCCUUUGUGUAUUUCAUGCUUCUACUAAUCCUCUUCUUGGAACUGCACGAACCUGCAGCCCUUCUUUGAUGUGGAGUGUAAACAUGGUUCUAUAAGUUACUUCUUUCGUGUCAUCGGAUAAUUUGAACCUGAAGAAAUGGAGAAGAGCCAUUGAUACUAUCUUCAUUUUCCGAUAAGCAAAAUCUUUGCCUAGACAUAAUCUUGGACCAGCCUGUAAAUUUAAUAAACCACUGAGUUAGAGAAGAGAUAAUAUGAUGCAACCCCAGUGUCAAGGAAGAUUUAGCAGUAUCCCUUGUGGUAUUCUAAUCCCAAUUGCAGAUGAUAUACAAUACAGGCCAAAAGAAUAUAUAGAUUCUUUAGACCAAAGUAAAUUACUAUCUUCGCGGUUACAGACUAACAUAAACCCCAAAAAGCCCUUGGUGAGAUCUUGAUCAGCUCUCUGCUAAACCUAGCUAGCUCAUAAGGUGAGGAUUUCCCAAGUCCAUAUAAAAAGACCACGUGUCCAUUCCCCAACCAAUGUGGGACUCUAACCCACUCUAACACGAACUGUACGUAACAACAACUAUAUAGCCUCAGUGAUCACCUAUAUCAUUUCGGGAGACACUAAGUAUGAAUAAUUAAAACAUACGCUUACAUGAAAUGCUAUGAAUUUGAAUGGUGACUCUGGCUGGAAAAUCCCAUCUUUCAACCAUCUUUCUGGUCGGAAAUCCUCAGCAUCAUCCCCCCAAACGUAAGGCAUCCUCCCCAUUGCAUAGGACAUAUAAUAAACCCCAUCCCCUUUCUUGAUGUGAAAGCCAUCAGGAAGAACAUCAUCUGCAUCUGCACACCUGCCAUCCUGCAUAUCAACAAAUGACAUGUUGCAUAUGAGAUAUAGUCACAGAUAGAUACAACAGGGCAGAAAUGCUAGAUUUAUUUGGUUUUGCAUAUAUUGCAGUUUUAUGGACAGAAGUAGUACCACUGGGACAGCAGGGUAUAGCCUCAAGGUCUCUGUCAAUGUUGCAUGAAGAUAAUGCAUUUUCUCGAGGACCUCUUCUGUAAUACUUGCUACAAAAUCAUCCACACUUCCAUUAUCCUUCAUGUUAUUAUCAAUAACUUCUCUUAUUUCCUCAACAAUCUUUAUUUGGAUUAAGGGGUUCUUGCAAAGCACAUAGAAAAACCAUGAAAGAGUAUUAGCAGUACUAUCUUUGCCAGCAAGCAUGAAAUUCAGUAUAAUAUCUCUGAGAUACCGAUUAGUCAUUUUUUCUGGAUCCUUCUUGCUCUCUACCAGAAACCUUGAGAGUAUGUCCUCCUUAUCCAUCUUGCAGAACAGAAAGAAAGUUAAUAAUUAUGUUAGACGAGAUUCCAAAAUAGCUUUAGAAGAUGGAAAUGCUUCAUUUCUAGCUCUCCAAACAUUUUAAUAACUAAGACUUACAGAAUCUUGUUUCAUUUCUAGCUGUUUGCGCCUUGUUCUAAUCAAUUCAUCAACGAAUUCUUGAAUGAACUUGAUGUUCUUUUUCAGAAGAAAUUCAGAGCCGAUGUUGAAGUAUCUCUUAAGCUUCCAGAAUGGAUCGACAUAACGCCAAUAUGACAAUGCAUUUGAAUCAUCAAAGGCCUUGAUGAAUUUGUUAUCAUCUCCACUUGAUCCUUCCAGGCAGUUCAGAUCAACUCCAAAGCCAACUUUGAAUAUUGAUUCCAGGGAACAUCUCAUUAGCAGUUCCUACAAGUGUGGUAGCAUAUUUUAGUGAUAAAAAUUGGCUUAGUGAUAUAACCCGGAAAUUCAUUAAAUUCUUCAAUGACUUACUUGCAUAUCAAAAACUUGGUUGGCAAGAGAUAACUCAGAAACCUUGCUCACCAACUUGGUUGCUCCUUUUCUGAAAACUUUGCAGCUAAAGUCUCUCAAUACUCUAGCUGAGAACUCAAAACUUGCAAGCUUUCUCUGUUGCUUCCAUUUCUCACCAUCCACCGCGAAAAUCCCUUCACCAAACAAAUCCAUUAUAACCUCUUGAUUUCGCUUUCCUUUAGAGUACUUACUAAAGUUUGUCUUAAGAAUGUACUCAAUAUUUCUUGAAUCAGUGGUAUAUGUUUCACUCUGCUCCGGCGCCAGAAACCGGAAAGUAGGGGUCUUUUUAGCCAAUUCUGUUUGAUAAUCAUAGACUCUGUUGAAGUAUAAAAGCUGAUGGAACACAGUCCCCUCCACUGGUGCAUAUUUGGGGUUUCUGAUUGACUUGCCAGCAUAGAUCCUUACUAUUAAAAUUAAUAAAGGAGUCACACAAAUGAACAAGAGAAUAGCUAUAGAGAUGAAGAUGGUAUAAAGAACAUCCAUUUCCUUUUUCAGAUCUGUUUUAUAUAUUUGGAGAGAUGACAACCAUCUCUAUGUACUAUAUACCACACAGAUGCAAAGUCAAAUCAAGAAAAUUGAUCACAUAUCAUAUAUAAAAUGAAUUUGACAGAAACUUGAAGAAUAAACAAAAGAAUAUGUCACUGUUCCUUUGGAAUAUGAUUUAAUAAUACAU